UGCAGUCGAACGAUGAAGCCCAGCUUGCUGGGUGGAUUAGUGGCGAACGGGUGAGUAACACGUGAGUAACCUGCCCUUGACUCUGGGAUAAGCGCUGGAAACGGCGUCUAAUACCGGAUACGAGCUUCCACCGCAUGGUGAGUUGCUGGAAAGAAUUUCGGUCAAGGAUGGACUCGCGGCCUAUCAGGUAGUUGGUGAGGUAACGGCUCACCAAGCCGACGACGGGUAGCCGGCCUGAGAGGGUGACCGGCCACACUGGGACUGAGACACGGCCCAGACUCCUACGGGAGGCAGCAGUGGGGAAUAUUGCACAAUGGGCGCAAGCCUGAUGCAGCAACGCCGCGUGAGGGACGAAGGCCUUCGGGUCGUAAACCUCUUUUAGCAGGGAAGAAGCGAAAGUGACGGUACCUGCAGAAAAAGCACCGGCUAACUACGUGCCAGCAGCCGCGGUAAUACGUAGGGUGCGAGCGUUAUCCGGAAUUAUUGGGCGUAAAGAGCUCGUAGGCGGUUUGUCACGUCUGUUGUGAAA
RNAcentral lists this ribosomal RNA (529 nucleotides) under Bacillus sp. LT63. RNAcentral's name for it is "bacterial SSU rRNA". It matches the Rfam family "Bacterial small subunit ribosomal RNA", at positions 56 to 599 of the family's 1533-position model. Lineage: Bacteria; Bacillati; Bacillota; Bacilli; Caryophanales; Bacillaceae. The record is from RNAcentral.